ACGAAUCCUGGUUGGGGGUAACUCUGACCGGGGGAAGUGGCGAAAGGGGCAGUAAUGCGUGGGUAACCUACCCCGGGGACCGGGAUAGCCUUCCUAACGGAAGGGUAAUACCGGGCAAUGUAACGCAGGCGCCUGUCUGUGUUACCAGAAGGUCCUCCGCCCUGGGAGGGGCUCACGUGAUAUUAGCUUGUUGGUGGGGUAACGGCUCACCAAGGCUCAGAUGUCUAGCGGGUGUGAGAGCACGACCCGCGCCACUGGCACUGAGACACUGGCCAGACUCCUACGGGAGGCUGCAGUCGAGGAUCUUCGGCAAUGGGCGCAAGCCUGACCGAGCGACGCCGCGUGCGCGAUGAAGGCCUUCGGGUUGUAAAGCGCUGUCGAGGGGGAGGAAAGCCCGCAAGGGUCUGACCUAUCCCUGGAGGAAGCACGGGCUAAGUUCGUGCCAGCAGCCGCGGUAAGACGAACCGUGCAAACGUUGUUCGGAAUCACUGGGCUUAAAGGGCGCGUAGGCGGGUUCCCAAGUCCGGGGUGAAAUCUUUCGGCUUAACC
Molecule: ribosomal RNA, 549 nt
Filed under: uncultured bacterium
Lineage: Bacteria
Description: bacterial SSU rRNA
Rfam family: Bacterial small subunit ribosomal RNA
Source: RNAcentral